Molecule: long non-coding RNA, 417 nt
Organism: Apis dorsata (giant honeybee)
Lineage: Eukaryota; Metazoa; Arthropoda; Insecta; Hymenoptera; Apidae
Exons: 2
Source: RefSeq, a predicted model, not a curated record
UUAUUUUUCUCAUCUUUUCAAUCUUGAGAUUUUAUUUCAUUUGGUUUUAUUUAAUUAAAUAUUUAAUUGGAGAAUUAAUUACAUAUACAGGAUGUUUAAAAAAUAAAGUUUAGAGAUUUAGCCACAUUGCCUAUCAUACGGUAUACGCCACAUGCUGAACUUUCUGUUCUGUUGAAGUAUAUUAAGGAGUGGGAAUGUCGCAUAGUGGGAAAAUUGUGCUGCAUGAUGGGGAAAUCAACUCGGUAUUACCUCAAGGGAUUGAAAUCUUCGACGCAGAUUAUAAUCGCCACAAUUUGCAUGCAAUAUUAAAACGUUCAUGCUAAUUACAUUAUUAAUCACGUAUAAUAAAAAUCUGGAAUAGAAAACAUUAAGUUCAUCGAACUUGCGAAUCACAGAAGCUAACGUUCUCUUUUCCAA